GAUGAACGCUAGCUACAGGCUUAACACAUGCAAGUCGAGGGGCAUCAUUAUCGAAGCUUGCUUUGAUAGAUGGCGACCGGCGCACGGGUGAGUAACGCGUAUCCAACCUUCCCCGUAGUAGGGCACAGCCCGGCGAAAGUCGGAUUAAUUCCCUAUGUUCUCCAAUGCAGACAUCUAAGUUGGAGCAAAGAUUCAUCGCUAUGGGAUGGGGAUGCGUCUGAUUAGGUUGUCGGCGGGGUAACGGCCCACCGAGCCUGCGAUCAGUAGGGGUUCUGAGAGGAAGGUCCCCCACAUUGGAACUGAGACACGGUCCAAACUCC
This 320-nucleotide ribosomal RNA is filed under the name uncultured Prevotella sp. RNAcentral describes it as "bacterial SSU rRNA". It matches the Rfam family "Bacterial small subunit ribosomal RNA", at positions 28 to 339 of the family's 1533-position model. The record is from RNAcentral. Lineage: Bacteria; Pseudomonadati; Bacteroidota; Bacteroidia; Bacteroidales; Prevotellaceae.